Molecule: long non-coding RNA, 664 nt
Filed under: Daucus carota (carrot)
Lineage: Eukaryota; Viridiplantae; Streptophyta; Magnoliopsida; Apiales; Apiaceae
Description: long non-coding RNA (DCAR_LNC007615)
Source: RNAcentral
AGAAGGACUGGUUUGCUGAUGCCAUUCACUGACGUCUCACUGUUGGUCAUUAAAGACCCAUCAGAAUUGAAUGAAUAUUGAGGAGCUCCUCCAUGCCUCCCUGGAACUGUAGAUAUUGGGCUUGUUAAACCAUGUUGGUCAGGUAAGCUUUCAGCCAAUGGUGGAGGGAUUGCACCUAGUGGAUACGCAAUAUCAACAUCAGAAAUGAGUCCAUGGCCAGUAAGCACAGUUAUAGCAAGCCCGAAAUGCAGUGCAAAUUGCACCACACAACUUAUGACAUCAAAUCCACUAGGGAUUUCAAGAAGGACUGGUUUGCUGAUGCCAUUCACUGACGUCUCACUGUUGGUCAUUAAAGACCCAUCAGAAUUGAAUGAAUAUUGAGGAGCUCCUCCAUGCCUCCCUGGAACUGUAGAUAUUGGGCUAGUUAAACCAUGUUGGUCAGGUAAGCUUUCAGCCUGCGACUUAGGUUCCUCAUGUUUUUCUUCCAAGAGAGGUGUUGUCGAUGAGGAUCCACCGGAUUUUUUUGAAUUACUCAUCACUGCGAAGAAAAUGUUAUUGCUGUGAACUAAACAAUGAAAGAGAUAAGUAUAUAUAGCCUCUCCGAUAGCAUAUAUGAGCUGUAAUUUGGGAUUUUUAUUGUUUAUAUGAGUUUAAAAUGAUAAUA